This is a non-coding RNA of Gossypium hirsutum (cotton), 87 nucleotides long. The record is from Rfam. Lineage: Eukaryota; Viridiplantae; Streptophyta; Magnoliopsida; Malvales; Malvaceae.
CUCAAGGAAGCGCUUUGUCCACGUGGACACAAAGCGCACCCUCAAAAAAGCAUUUUCUGUCCACGUGGACAAAGUGCUUCCUUAAGA